Molecule: unclassified non-coding RNA, 246 nt
Filed under: Caenorhabditis elegans
Lineage: Eukaryota; Metazoa; Nematoda; Chromadorea; Rhabditida; Rhabditidae
Description: Non-coding transcript of protein-coding gene zip-7
Source: RNAcentral
GCCUAUCUCGACCGGCGCCGCCGAAACAACGAAGCCGCCCGUAAAUCCAGAGAAUCUCGCAAGAAAGUCGAUCAGGACAAUAGUGUUCGUGUAACAUAUUUGGAGAGGGAAAAUCAAUGCUUGCGAGUCUACGUCCAACAGCUCCAACUACAAAACGAAUCGAUGAGACAACAUUUGCUCCUGCAAAAUCCGGGCACUAUAGACACUAUGGACCCGAUUGCCAUGGCGAAUAUGCCGAGUUAUUAA